AGUGAACGCUGGCGGCAGGCCUAACACAUGCAAGUCGAGCGGCAGCACAGUAAGCACUUGCUCUUACGGGUGGCGAGUGGGGGACGGGUGAGGUAUACAUCGGAUUCUACUGUUACGUGGGGGAUAACGUAGGGCAAGCUACGCUAAUACCGCAUACGUCUUACGGGUGUAAGCAGGGGUUCUUCGGACUUUGCGGGUUUGUAUGAGCCGAUGUCGGAUUAGAUAGUUGGCGGGGUAGAGGCCCACCAAGGCCACGAUCCGUAGCUGAUCUGAGAGGAGGGACAGCCACACUGGAACAGAGACACGGUCCAGACUCCUGCGGGAGGCAACAGUGGGGAAUAUUAGGCAAUGGGCGCGAGCCUAAUCCAGCCAAACCGCGUGGGUGAAGAAGGCCUUCGGGUUGUAAAGCCCUUUUGUUGUGAAAGAAAAACAGCUGGUUAAUCCGCCACUGUUCUGACGGUACCUAAAGAAUAAGCACCGGCUAACUUCGUG
RNAcentral lists this ribosomal RNA (492 nucleotides) under uncultured bacterium. RNAcentral describes it as "partial 16S ribosomal RNA". It matches the Rfam family "Bacterial small subunit ribosomal RNA", at positions 29 to 507 of the family's 1533-position model. The record is from RNAcentral.